Eriocheir sinensis (Chinese mitten crab) is the source of this 548-nucleotide long non-coding RNA. RefSeq lists it as uncharacterized. The record is from RefSeq and is a predicted model, not a curated record. The transcript has 2 exons. NCBI's taxonomy places the organism in Eukaryota, Metazoa, Arthropoda, Malacostraca, Decapoda, Varunidae.
UCCAAUGACAUUAAGUAUUCCAAUUAUUGUUGUUCAGAAGCCACUAUCUCCGUAACAACUCACUAACGAAGCAAUUUUUUUCUUUGUUUCCUCCUUUUCAUUCUUUCGUCAUUUCUACGAGACACAAUCUGCUCUAGAAGAUAACUAUACUCUAACCUUAAUUUUUAAAACACACUUUGCCCAUGCCAGCCCAGGGACAAGAUUUCACCUCUCGGUCUUCACUAGUGUUAUACAGCCUACAUCGGAGAGGAGGCACACCUUACUUAUGAACUGGCCUAUGAUGGAUACACAACAAGAAAGGAGGAGCUUAUUUGUCAACUUAUUGAGAGGAGGAACCAUGCCUGGCCGGAAGAUGUACAGUUCAUCCAAGUUCUUGUCAGCUUCAGAACACUCCUCGCCACCAUCAUCGCCGGCCUCCCCAAGGUGCAGAGACUGGAUCACCGACGUCUGGGUGCAGGGGUGAACGUGAGAUUACUGAGCACAAAAUAAUGUUUGUAUAUCUGUCACUGAAGGCUCUUCUGUAACUUACAUGAUAAAAAUAAAUUUUC